This 458-nucleotide ribosomal RNA is filed under the name uncultured bacterium. RNAcentral's name for it is "partial 16S ribosomal RNA". It matches the Rfam family "Bacterial small subunit ribosomal RNA", at positions 338 to 795 of the family's 1533-position model. The record is from RNAcentral.
CCUACGGGAGGCAGCAGUGGGGAAUAUUGCACAAUGGGGGAAACCCUGAUGCAGCGACGCCGCGUGAGUGAAGAAGUAAUUCGUUACGUAAAGCUCUAUCAGAAGGGAAGAAACACUGACCUUACGGUCAGCAGACGGUACCUGAGUAAGAAGCCCCGGCUUACUACGUGCCAGCAGCCGCGGUAAUACGUAGGGGGCAAGCGUUAUCCGGAUGUACUGGGUGUGAAGGGAGCGUAGACGGUGCGCCAAGUCUGGAGUGAAAUGCCGCAGCUGAACUGCGGAACUGCUUUGGAAACUGGCGAACUAGAGUGCGGGAGGGGUAAGCGGAAUUCCUAGUGUAGCGGUGAAAUGCGUAGAUAUUAGGAGGAACACCGGUGGCGAAGGCGGCUUACUGGACCGUAACUGACGUUGAGGCUCGAAAGCGUGGGGAGCAAACAGGAUUAGAUACCCGAGUAGUC